RNAcentral lists this long non-coding RNA (1494 nucleotides) under Anser cygnoides (Swan goose). RNAcentral's name for it is "lncRNA (ENSACDG00005017569.1)". Lineage: Eukaryota; Metazoa; Chordata; Aves; Anseriformes; Anatidae. The record is from RNAcentral.
AUGACCCCGAAAGCAGGUGAUCACUCAUGGGAAAAGCAGGUAGAAUUAAUCAUUCUGCUGUUCUCCAUUUCCUCCCCUUUUUGGCUGACCUGGACACAGUGUGAAAUCUGUCCUGGGGAGGGGGAAGGCNNAGGGGGCGGGGGGGGGGGGAUUAACUCCUUCCUGCCGAUGAAAAUACAGCGGAGAGAGGUGAGAACCGACCCGGGGGCUGCCUCCCCAGGCUGCCUUUGCUGUGAAAAGCUUGCUGCGAGGUCAAGCCUGCCCCGAGGAGAGCCGAGCGACCUGCGCCUGGCUCCGCUCCAGGGCGUCCCCGCUCCCACCUGCCCGCCGGCCUCCCCUCCUUCCUCUUCCAGGGGCUUCCCUCAGCAUCCUCCAUCCCUCCCUCCUUCCCUCCCCGCCGGCCACCGCCCGCCUGUUUGCAGCCUCAUCCCUCUCCCUGCCAAGGGAAGCGGAGGCUCGGGGCGCGGGCAGGGCUCUGCGGCCGGCGGCGCAGCUUGCGCGGUGCUUGCGCGCCCUUUGCGCGGCCCCGCUCGGCAGCCGUCGGGCCUAGAAGCAGGACCGAGCUGGGGAGGGGGGCGUAGGGAGAGCGGGACCCCCCCGGCCACCCCUCUGGAAGCCAGCCCUGCCGCUGCCCGGGCGCAGGAAGCGCCUCUGCGCUCUUUGCUUUGAAAAUAGCCACCGGCUCGCCAGUCCCCGCUCUGAGUUGCGCCGCGCCGGGCCGGAGCCCCGGGCAAUUUUUUUUUUAUCUUUCCUCUCCACCGAGCCCGUGGCUUGGGAAAAGCAGGAGUUCAACCGUCCUGGGGGCGCAGAGCCCGGCGGCUGCUCACCCCAAAACCUCCCCCAUUUCCCCACGUUCUGCCCGCGGGGCUUUUUUUUGGGGGGGGACGGGGAGGCUGCGCUGCUUCUUGGCGGAUCGGGCCCCUGGGAAGGGCGAUGGGGGACCUUGGGGCGGGGACCCGGGCGCACGUCCCGUCCCACCAGGAUCCCUCGGGGCACAAAUCCAACACAAAGCGCAGGAUUUGCGCCUUUCACCCUGCUCCCCUCCGCUGCUGGACGCUCGCUCGCUGAAAAUCGGGACGCAGCGGGGCCCUUCCCGCCCCAUAGCGCGUCCUGCCGUGGGGACAGGGGUCCUGCCCUGUCCUGCCCGGGUCGCACCCCCACAGGACCCAGGCUCGGGGGGGCGCACGAAACCCGGCGGGGUCUGGGCUGGGUGCCCCGACGGGGCGGCCGGUGCCGGGCCUCGGCAAGGAGCAGGGAUGGCCCCGAGGGUUUUGUCCCCCCGCCGGGACCGCGGGUGGGGCCGCAGGAGGGCUCGGGGGACCCCCCCCCGCCCCGUCGGGGGGACCGGGGGGAGCUGCGAAGCGUCCCCGGGAUGCGCCGGGGAGGACGGCGGAGCUGGGAAGACCCUCCUGCAGAGGGUGACAUUUCUCCACGGCCCAGGACCUCUAGAACAAACACGGCAGCGACUUAAAUAAACACGCGUUUAAUGAUGCA